Poecilia reticulata (guppy) is the source of this 465-nucleotide non-coding RNA. NCBI's taxonomy places the organism in Eukaryota, Metazoa, Chordata, Actinopteri, Cyprinodontiformes, Poeciliidae. The record is from RefSeq and is a predicted model, not a curated record.
UGUGAAAACUCAAUAAAGGUCGAUUUUCCACAUUUUUUGGCACCUCUGUCAUUACUAAAACGGCUCUAAUUAAAAAUCUACAACUCAUACACACUUCAAACCUGGACUAGAUUAUUCUGCUUUUCAAGCUGGAUGUUUAAAACCACCAUGUUUGGGAUUUGUGAAACCUUUUUCUGAUUUGUGAAAACUCAUUCGAUUUUCACCAUUUUUUGGCACCUCUUUCAUUACUAAAACUGCUGUUUUACUAAUUAAAUAUGUUGAUUUAAUGCAGGCGUCGAUAAAGGCAUUGGGGGGGAAAAAAUGGGACUAAWCAGGGGAGAGGCAGUGCAAAAAGUGGAGCAUAGCCAAAUGGAGGAGAGCGAAAGAGAAGCACUUCUGAUGCAGAUUAGAGCAGAAAUAGAGAGGCGUGCAAAGAACAACAAUUAAGGAAAAGCCAUGAAAUAAAACGUUUCCAAGUUUGAAGUU